CGCGUAGGCGGCAAGGCAAGUCAGAUGUGAAAUCCCCGGGCUCAACCUGGGAAUUGCAUCUGAAGCUGCAGUGCUUGAGUCCUGGAGGGGAUAGUGGAAUUCCCAGUGUAGCGGUGAAAUGCGUAGAUAUUGGGAGGAACACCUGCGGCGAAGGCGGCUAUCUGGACAGUGACUGACGCUGAUGCGCGAAAGCCAGGGGAGCGAACG
Molecule: ribosomal RNA, 207 nt
Filed under: uncultured bacterium
Lineage: Bacteria
Description: partial 16S ribosomal RNA
Rfam family: Bacterial small subunit ribosomal RNA
Source: RNAcentral